AUUGAACGCUGGCGGCAUGCUUUACACAUGCAAGUCGAACGGCAGCGCGGGCUUCUGCCUGGCCGCGCGUGGCCAACGGGUGAGUAAUUCAUCGGAACGUGCCCAGCCUUUGGGGCUAGCACGGCUAAAGCCGGCUUAAUACCGCACACGACCUGAGGUUGAAACCGGUGGUCCAAAAGUCCUCGCGCUAUUUGCUGUGCCGAUGUCGGAUUAGCUAGUUGGUUGGGUAAAGGCUUACCAAGGCGACGAUCCGUAGCUGAUCUGAGAGGCCGACCAGCCACACUGGGACUGAGACACGGCCCAGACUCCUACGGGAGGCAGCAGUGGGGAAUUUUGGACAAUGGGGGCAACCCUGAUGCAGCAAUGCCGCGUGCGGGAAGAAGGCCUUCGGGUUGUAAACCGCUUUUGUUAGGGAAGAAAACCUCUGGGAUAAUACCCCGGGGGGAUGACGGUACCGGAAGAAUAAGCAACGGCUAACUACGUG
Molecule: ribosomal RNA, 484 nt
Filed under: uncultured bacterium
Lineage: Bacteria
Description: partial 16S ribosomal RNA
Rfam family: Bacterial small subunit ribosomal RNA
Source: RNAcentral